GUGGGGAAUAUUGGACAAUGGGGGGAACCCUGAUCCAGCCAUGCCGCGUGUGUGAAGAAGGCCUUUUGGUUGUAAAGCACUUUAAGCGAGGAGGAGGCUACCGAGAUUAAUACUCUUGGAUAGUGGACGUUACUCGCAGAAUAAGCACCGGCUAACUCUGUGCCAGCAGCCGCGGUAAUACAGAGGGUGCAAGCGUUAAUCGGAUUUACUGGGCGUAAAGCGCGCGUAGGUGGCCAAUUAAGUCAAAUGUGAAAUCCCCGAGCUUAACUUGGGAAUUGCAUUCGAUACUGGUUGGCUAGAGUAUGGGAGAGGAUGGUAGAAUUCCAGGUGUAGCGGUGAAAUGCGUAGAGAUCUGGAGGAAUACCGAUGGCGAAGGCAGCCAUCUGGCCUAAUACUGACACUGGGGUGCGAAAGCAUGGGGAGCAAACAGGAUUAGAAACCCUUGUAGUCC
This 451-nucleotide ribosomal RNA is filed under the name uncultured bacterium. RNAcentral's name for it is "partial 16S ribosomal RNA". It matches the Rfam family "Bacterial small subunit ribosomal RNA", at positions 354 to 796 of the family's 1533-position model. The record is from RNAcentral.